This is a non-coding RNA of Nelumbo nucifera (sacred lotus), 3112 nucleotides long. Lineage: Eukaryota; Viridiplantae; Streptophyta; Magnoliopsida; Proteales; Nelumbonaceae. The record is from RefSeq and is a predicted model, not a curated record.
CAUCCCCAGUAUUAAAAUUCAGUUCAGAUGUCCUAAAAAUUCAUCCCGAAUCCAAAUUCUACAAAAGUCCUCGCCGACAUAUCGAGUAGUCGCUUCUCCCUCCCGACUCCCGACUCUCGACUCCCACCUUCCACAUCCAUCUCCAUCCCUUUAGCCCAGCGCCCGCCCCCUCUCUCCUCCCCGCUUGAGUAGCCAAAGCCAAGCCAGUCAAGCAUGUUUUCCUUCCCCAUUCAAUCCCUUCUCCCCGGAAUACCACCAAAAAUUUUGAAAUGCGGUUUUCCGAUAUGGCGCAAAUGUUAUCUCUCACCACCUCCUUUCACUUCCGUUACUCCUUAACCGCUGACUAGUUAUAGAGAUAGAGAGAGGUGGGAAAAGGAGAAAGUUUAGGAAGCUCGAAGCAAUAUUGUUUUUCGGUUUGUGGAAUGACGGAUUACCGGUUACCGACGAUGAAUCUAUGGACGGACGACAACGCGUCGAUGAUGGAAGCAUUUAUGGCUUCUGAUCUCUCUCAGUUUUCGUGGGCGCCUUCGGCGUCUGCUUCCACGACUACUACUGCAACUGACCCUUCGAGAGCCACGCACCAAUCUCAACCGUCGAUGUUCUUCAAUCAAGAGACGCUGCAGCAGCGGCUUCAAACCCUAAUCGAAGGUGCUCGUGAGAGCUGGACGUACGCGAUAUUCUGGCAAUCAUCUGUUGACAUUUCUGGUGCUUCUCUGCUCGGAUGGGGCGAUGGGUACUACAAGGGUGAAGAGGAUAAGAUGAAGAGGAAGGUGACGGUUUCUCCGGCGGAGCAGGAGCACCGGAAAAAGGUACUCAGGGAGCUCAAUUCUUUGAUUUCCGGUGCCCCGCCUUCUGCCGACGAUACGGUGGAUGAAGAGGUUACCGAUACCGAAUGGUUCUUUCUUGUGUCGAUGACGCAGUCGUUUAUCAACGGUGCCGGGCUUCCCGGUCAAGCCUUCUUUGCUUCGUCUCCCCUGUGGCUUGCCGGAAGUGAGAGGCUUGCAAGCUCGUCCUGCGAGCGGGCGAGACAAGGACAGAUUUUCGGUUUGCAGACUAUGGUGUGUAUACCAUCGGCCAACGGUGUCCUUGAAUUGGGCUCGACGGAGUUGAUAUUCCAGAGCUCGGAUCUGAUGAAUAAGGUUAAGGUUUUAUUUAAUUUCAAUAAUCCUGAGAGUGGUCCUUGGUCGACGACGCAGACGGAUCAGGGCGAGAACGAUCCGUCGUCGCUCUGGAUCUCGGAUCCGUCGAUGCUCGACAUUAAGGAGUCUGUGAAUGCAGCUCCAGCUGCUUCAGCUGUUGCUCCUCCUAAUCAGGAGAUUUCGAAGCCAAUUCAGAUCGAGAAUCAAAGCACAAGUAAUCUAACCGAAAACCCUAGCACGAUUUCACUCCAAACCAAGCACCAAAGCCACCAUCAACAGCAGCAGACACAGGGUUUCUUCACUAGAGAGAUAAAUUUCUCUGACUUCGGGUUAGAAGGAAGCACUACAAAGAAAGGAGUUACUCAAUCCUGUAAGCCCGAAUCCGGUGAACUUAUGAAUUUUGGGGGGAGCAGGGGAAACAUGAGCAGUGCAAAUGGGGCUCUGUUCUCGAAUCAUUCACAACAAUUUGUGGCAGAUGACAAGAAGAAGAAGUGUUCUGCCUCAUCAAGGGGAGAGGAAGGAAUGCUAUCCUUCACGUCUGGUGCAGUCGUUCCUUCCGCCUGCGUGAUGAAAUCCAGCGGUGAAAAUUUAGACUCCGAUCAAUCCGAUCUUGAAGCUUCGGUUCGAGAGGUUGAGAGCAGUAGAGUAGGAGAGCCAGAAAAGAAGCCUCGGAAGAGGGGGAGGAAACCCGCAAAUGGCCGAGAAGAGCCUCUGAACCAUGUGGAAGCAGAGCGACAGAGGCGGGAGAAGCUGAAUCAAAGGUUCUACUCUCUUCGAGCUGUGGUACCAAAUGUUUCCAAGAUGGACAAAGCUUCCCUCCUUGGCGAUGCAAUUUCCUACAUCAAUGAGCUUAGAGCGAAGCUGCAAGCAGCUGAAUCUGAUAAGGAGGCACUGCAGACCCAAGUAGAUUGUCUGAAAAAGGACCUUACAUCCCGGAUAUAUCCGGGACCUUCUCCCCAACCUGAUAAAGAUAGAGAUGGGAAAAUUUCGAGCCAGCAAGGAAACAAGGCAUUGGAGAUGGAAAUUGAUGUGAAGAUUCUUGGGUGGGAGGCAAUGGUUCGCAUCCAAUGCAACAAGAAGAACCAUCCAGCAGCAAGGCUGAUGUCUGCUCUUAAGGACCUCGACCUGGAUGUACACUAUGCGAGUGUGUCGGUGGUGAAGGAUUUGAUGAUCCAACAGGCCACCGUUAAGAUGUCAAGUCGAGUUUACACUCAGGAGCAGCUCAGGAUUGCUCUUUCUUCCAAAGUUGCCGAUAAAUGAUUCAACUACUCUGACCUCAGGUUUGUAUUUCCAUGAAAUUGGCAGAGGUGUAGGUUGGAGGAGCAUUUUGAAAUAAUCCCACCGGGCAUAGCUCUAUGUAAAAUAUGAAGUAGCUUAAUUGCUUAGUAGCUUUUAUUUUAUGAUCGAACUUUGACAAUUUCUGCACUGAAUUUGAAGAAGGAUGGAGGAGGAGAAUCCAUCCAAUGGCUGGCGCUGAAGCCUGACCUGCGAAGAAGAGGAGAAAGGAUUAGAUCGAGAUAAAGAGGAUGGACUGAGUAAUACCUCCAUCCGAGUAAAAAUGGUGACACAAAUGGCCUUCUCCGUUUUCAACUUCAAACUAUUUGGCUCUCUUUGUAUCUCUCUAGCUAUGUAUUUCUGGUUGAAUUUUCAACCAAUCCAGAAAUUUAGAGAGCUCAGAGAAGAACCUCCAACAUAGAUGAUGGUUCCUCUGUGAUGUUGGAAGAGGAGCCAAAAAACAAAGGAUUGAAGGUUUAGUCUGGUUGGUUUGGUUUUAUCUUUUUGUUUUUGGUAUGUGAAAUGCAGGCAGAACUUGGCAUAUGUAUUCUAACACAGGAUUGGUUUCUGAGAUUGAGAACAUUAUGGAAAUUGGGAUGUGAGGAAGUCCUUGAAGGAUUUCAUUAAGGUUCCUUUGGGUAAGGUAAAUAGACUUAUUUCAUAAUAAAUACUUACCUGGGUAAGUGCUUUUAAUCUUC